This 45-nucleotide non-coding RNA is filed under the name Schistosoma haematobium. The record is from RNAcentral. Lineage: Eukaryota; Metazoa; Platyhelminthes; Trematoda; Strigeidida; Schistosomatidae.
ACCUAGCUGACAAGUCCCAAAAAAGACGUAACGUGCGUCCUAGAU